AUUGAACGCUGGCGGCAUGCCUUACACAUGCAAGUCGAACGGCAGCACGGGAGCAAUCCUGGUGGCGAGUGGCGAACGGGUGAGUAAUGUAUCGGAACGUGCCCAGUCGUGGGGGAUAACGCAGCGAAAGCUGUGCUAAUACCGCAUACGAUCUAUGGAUGAAAGCGGGGGAUCGCAAGACCUCGCGCGAUUGGAGCGGCCGAUAUCAGAUUAGGUAGUUGGUGAGGUAAAGGCUCACCAAGCCGACGAUCUGUAGCUGGUCUGAGAGGACGACCAGCCACACUGGGACUGAGACACGGCCCAGACUCCUACGGGAGGCAGCAGUGGGGAAUUUUGGACAAUGGGCGCAAGCCUGAUCCAGCAAUGCCGCGUGCAGGACGAAGGCCUUCGG
This 391-nucleotide ribosomal RNA is filed under the name uncultured bacterium. RNAcentral's name for it is "bacterial SSU rRNA". It matches the Rfam family "Bacterial small subunit ribosomal RNA", at positions 29 to 421 of the family's 1533-position model. The record is from RNAcentral.